UAGGGAAUCUUCGGCAAUGGACGAAAGUCUGACCGAGCAACGCCGCGUGAGUGAAGAAGGUCUUCGGAUCGUAAAACUCUGUUGUUAGAGAAGAACAAGGACGUUAGUAACUGAACGUCCCCUGACGGUAUCUAACCAGAAAGCCACGGCUAACUACGUGCCAGCAGCCGCGGUAUUUCGGAGGUGGCAAGCGUUGUCCGGAUUUAUUGGGCGUAAAGCGAGCGCAGGCGGUUUCUUAAGUCUGAUGUGAAAGCCCCCGGCUCAACCGGCGAGGGUCAUUGGAAACUGGGAGACUUAAGUGCAGAAGAGGAGAGUGGAAUUCCAUGUGUAGCGGUGAAAUGCGUAGAUAUAUGGAGAAACACCAGUGGCGAAGGCGGCUCUCUGGUCUGUAACUGACGCUGAGGCUCGAAAGCGUGGGGAGCAAACAGG
This 429-nucleotide ribosomal RNA is filed under the name Gemmatimonadota bacterium. Its description in RNAcentral is "Gemmatimonadetes bacterium partial 16S ribosomal RNA". It matches the Rfam family "Bacterial small subunit ribosomal RNA", at positions 355 to 776 of the family's 1533-position model. The record is from RNAcentral. Lineage: Bacteria; Pseudomonadati; Gemmatimonadota.